Small nucleolar RNA from Protopterus annectens (West African lungfish), 167 nucleotides. RefSeq annotates it as small nucleolar RNA SNORD97. The record is from RefSeq and is a predicted model, not a curated record. The transcript has a single exon. NCBI's taxonomy places the organism in Eukaryota, Metazoa, Chordata, Ceratodontiformes, Protopteridae.
CUGCCCAGUGAUUAUAAAAAGACGCGUUAUUGUGAGGACUACAGCCAGAAUCCAUCCUUUCUCUCUCUUCUUCCUUACCCGUUAAUUCUCCUUAUCCUUUCUUUUCCUUUCCUUCCCUCUUGUUGGGUUCUUGGUGUCCUGUGAGCACAAGUGUGAUAUGAGGGCAG